RNAcentral lists this ribosomal RNA (292 nucleotides) under uncultured bacterium. RNAcentral's name for it is "partial 16S ribosomal RNA". The record is from RNAcentral.
GGACUACUCGGGUAUCUAAUCCUGUUUGCUCCCCACGCUUUCGCGCCUCAGCGUCAAUCACAGUCCAGAUAGCCGCCUUCGCCACCGGUGUUCUUCCCAAUAUCUACGAAUUUCACCUCUACACUGGGAAUUCCGCUAUCCUCUCCUGCAUUCAAGCCAAUCAGUAUCAAAUGCAGUCCCCAGGUUAAGCCCAGGACUUUCACAUCUGACUUGAUCGGCCGCCUACGCGCCCUUUACGCCCAGUAAUUCCGAACAACGCUCGCCCCCUUCGUAUUACCGCGGCUGCUGGCAC